CGUAAAGGUGCAUGAGUGGUGUUUGGUUUGUUACGUGUGGUUGGCUGCGGCGUUUGCAACAACUUCCAUGCUUUCAGACCUUUUCAGUAUUGCGGCAAGGCUUGUAUCGCCUUGAUCGUGUUGUGGGUUUACUGUGUUGAAUACCUAACCAAUGGUAUCGGUUGGCUAGAUCAGAGUUUCAUUUCGUCUUGCGUUGCUCUUGCGACGUGAGGUGAACCAUGAUGCGGUCUCUUUGAUCCACCUUGUUGAGGCAAAUGUUUUGACAUUGUGGCACAUUGAGCAUUGCUUGGUCUCUUGUAUACGGAACAUAUAGUGGGCAUGGAUCUAACGAUUCUUGUUUGCCCUCUUAUUCUUGCUUCUUUAAAACGACGUGCGCAACGUGUUGGCUUGUCCAGCCGUUGUGCUAUGUCGAAGAGGA
This 418-nucleotide unclassified non-coding RNA is filed under the name Matricaria chamomilla var. recutita. RNAcentral's name for it is "partial external transcribed spacer". The record is from RNAcentral. Lineage: Eukaryota; Viridiplantae; Streptophyta; Magnoliopsida; Asterales; Asteraceae.